This is a long non-coding RNA of Mesocricetus auratus (golden hamster), 1464 nucleotides long. RefSeq lists it as uncharacterized. NCBI's taxonomy places the organism in Eukaryota, Metazoa, Chordata, Mammalia, Rodentia, Cricetidae. The transcript is spliced from 3 exons. The record is from RefSeq and is a predicted model, not a curated record.
CAAGGCCAACCUGGUCUACAAAGCAAGUUCCAAGACAGCCAGAAUUGUUACACAGAGAAACCCUGUCUUGAAAAACAAAAACAAAACAAAAGUCUAAGCCAGCGCAAGCCUCCUUCUUCCCACUGCCUACUGAUCUGGAUGCAAACUCUGAGCUCCUUCUCCUGCACUGUCUGCCUUCAUGCUGCCAUGGUGAUAAUGAACUAACCUCUGAGUGUGUAAGUAAGACCCCAAUGAAAUGCUUUCUCUGAUAUGAGUUGUUUUGGUCAUUUAGUCUCUUCACAACAAUAGAACAAUGACUAUGACGCUUCAAAUGUCCCAGUGUUUGAUCUGCAGGCAGGAGCUCAGCCCACGUUCCAGCAUCCUACACAGAUGAAGGGAUCCAGCAAACAUUCCUCAUUCCUGCCAAGUGGAGAAGGAAUCCCUGCAGAUAUCCAUUAGUACCACCCAAAGAUGGCUUCUGAAAGCUCCUAUAACAGCCCAGAAAGGAGCUGGGGAGCGCUAAGGAUUUGGUGGGCUAUGGCCAAUUGGGCAGAUCUGCCAGUGGCCAGGCAGUUUCACCAAUAGAUGCACUAGGUAAAACAUGGUUUAAAGGGUCCAGUAAGGGGACUGGAGAGAUGGCUCAGCAGUUAAGAACACUGGCUGCUCUGCCAGAGGACCAGGGUUCAACUCCUAGCACCACAUGGCAGCUCUCAACUGUCUUUAAUUUCAGUAGCAGGGAAUCUGAUACCUUCAUACCAAUGCACAUAAAAUAAAGUUAAAUAAGUUACAAAAAGAAAAGAUGCUUGAGAUAUGGUUGGAAUGUACUAAAGAGACAGAAUCCGUGCCUAGCAUGCACGAGGCCCUAAUCUUAAUCCAAGGCCAUAAAAAGAAGAAUUAAAAUUAGAUACUUAAUCAAGGCAUAGUGGCACAUGCCUUUUGUCCCAGCAUUCAGGAGGUAGGGAGGCAGAGGCAGAUGGAUCUCUGUGAGUUUGAAGUCGGCCUGGUUAGUCUAUGUAGCAAGUUCCAGGCCAACCAGGGUACGUAGUGAAACCCUGUGCCAAACAAAUAACAACAACAUAAACAAAAUAAAACUAUAGAUGCUUGAGAUCCAAACAAUAUUGAUUCCAAAUGAGAAAACACAAAAUUAAUCAAUGACCAAAUAAAAUGUCUAGGGGAAAAUGUAUUAGGCCAACUAGCCACUUGCCUCUGCUCUCAUAUAGUUCCAUGUAUCAAACGGGCCAUAUGGAGGGAAGUGAUUUUCUUAUGCUUUAUAGAAUAUGGAAGAGGCCUGAAAGCCAAUCAAGGACCCUGGGCAGCUCCUGAAAUGGCUCCAAAUUGGCACUCCAGGAGUCUCUGGGGAGAUCACUGAGCCAGUCACACCACAGAACUGGGGACAAGAGAAGGAGCCAUGAUUGCCACUAAGCCCCAGGCAGGAUGAGAGACAUCCAGGCUAGCCAGAAGAAGAAGAGGAGGAGGAGAAGGAGG